RNAcentral lists this ribosomal RNA (305 nucleotides) under uncultured bacterium. RNAcentral describes it as "bacterial SSU rRNA". It matches the Rfam family "Bacterial small subunit ribosomal RNA", at positions 335 to 637 of the family's 1533-position model. The record is from RNAcentral.
GCCCUACGGGACGCAGCAGUGAGGAAUAUUGGUCAAUGGGCGGAAGCCUGAACCAGCCAAGUCGCGUGAGGGAAUAAGGCCCUACGGGUCGUAAACCUCUUUUGCCGGGGAGCAAGGGCGGGGACGUGUCCCGGCCCGGAGAGUACCCGGAGAAAAAGCAUCGGCUAACUCCGUGCCAGCAGCCGCGGUAAUACGGAGGAUGCGAGCGUUAUCCGGAUUUAUUGGGUUUAAAGGGUGCGUAGGCGGCGCUUCAGGUCAGCGGUGAAAUACCGGGGCUCAACCCCGGGGCUGCCGUUGAAACCGGG